GGAUCAGCUGCCACUUCCUCCAGAGGAUCCAGCCCCACCACCAUCUUCAGGCGUAUGGCUGUGUGGGUCUCCCAGACGUCUUUUGUGAUGUGUAUAUGUCCUCUGUUGGUGUAUGAAUGUCCUUUGUGUUGUACCUUAGAGGGGAGAGUCCAAGGGAAGAGUUCACUCUGCCAUGAUGCUGACGUCCUGGACUCCACUUUUUGAUGAGAGUUGCUGCAAAGUGACAUUGCAGAGGCAUGGGGCCUGGAACUGAUAUCUCCUUUCAAGAUUGGUCAUGGAUUAUUUUUGCCUACAACUGGAUAUUCAUCAGAGAAUGGAGCAGCUGCCCUAUACCCUGAUCUUUCAGUCAUCGUCGAUGAUGGCUAUCAGCACAGGCUUUCUGCCUCGGGGUCAUCGCAUUCCCAAGGAACUCAAAAGGACAACAGUUAUCAUCUUAAAGGAGCUGGAAGGUGCCACAAAAUCUACAGGGCAUGUCUGGAUGUGGUUUGGGUGAGGAAGCAAUAGCCUGUGUGAGCCUCACCUCAUCAGGACCUCCCAGCACCCAUCUUCAUGUGGACUCAGCUUGACUCGGUGCACAUCUCCAGGCAGCCUGAAUGGGACCAGUCACCACAGCCACCGUUCCAACCACAGCCGCCAGUUCUGGGGACAGUGGUGACUGUGACCCAGCCUCCACCUUCACGGAGCUUAUACACUGCUCAGGGAGACAGCCAGGUGAUUGUGACAGAGUGUGAGGAACACCACGGGAGGUGUUCAUGUGGCACAGCGGGGGCAUCGCUCCCAGGCUGGGGCAUGUUAGUGGGUUGGACAGUCAUUGUGGACAUCACGGAAGACUUGCCUGGGAAAGGUGACAUCAAAGCUAGUACCUGAAGGACGAUUUACAGGGAAGACUCUUCCAGGCAG
RNAcentral lists this long non-coding RNA (900 nucleotides) under Equus caballus (horse). Its description in RNAcentral is "lncRNA (ENSECAG00000044434.1)". The record is from RNAcentral. Lineage: Eukaryota; Metazoa; Chordata; Mammalia; Perissodactyla; Equidae.